AACACAGGCAAGCCGAGCGGGAUUGUUUCUUCGGAAAUGAGAGAGCGGCGUACGGGUGCGGAACACGUGUGCAACCUGCCUUUAUCUGGGGGAUAGCCUUUCGAAAGGAAGAUUAAUACUCCAUAAUAUAUUGAACGGCAUCGUUUAAUAUUGAAAGCUCCGGCGGAUAGAGAUGGGCACGCGCAAGAUUAGCUAGUUGGUGAGGUAACGGCUCACCAAGGCGAUGAUCUUUAGGGGGCCUGAGAGGGUGAUCCCCCACACUGGUACUGAGACACGGACCAGACUCCUACGGGAGGCAGCAGUGAGGAAUAUUGGUCAAUGGGUGCAAGCCUGAACCAGCCAUCCCGCGUGAAGGACGACUGCCCUAUGGGUUGUAAACUUCUUUUGUAUAGGGAUAAACCUACCCUCGUGAGGGUAGCUGAAGGUACUAUACGGAAUAAGCACCGGGUAACUCCGUGCCAGCAGCCGCGGUAAUACGGAGGGGGGAAGCGUUAUCCCGGAUUUAUGGGUUUUAAAGGGUCCGUAGGCGGACUUAUAAGUCAGUGGUGAAAGCCUGUCCCUUUACGAUAGAACUGCCAUUGAUACUGUAAGUCUUGAGUAUAUUUGAGGUAGCUGGAAUAAGUAGUGUAGCGGUGAAAUGCAUAGAUAUUACUUAGAACACCAAUUGCGAAGGCAGGUUACCAAGAUAUAACUGACGCUGAGGGACGAAAGCGUAGGGAGCGAACAGGAUUAGAUACCCUGGUAGUCCACGCCGUAAAAGAUGCUAACUCGUUUUUGGGCUUUAGGGUUCAGAGACCAAGCGAAAGUGAUAAGUUAGCCACCUGGGGAGUACGCUCGCAAGAGUGAAACUCAAAGGAAUUGACGGGGGCCCGCACAAGCGGUGGAUUAUGUGGUUUAAUUCGAUGAUACGCGAGGAACCUUACCAAGACUUAAAUGGGAAUUGACAGCUUUAGAAAUAGAGCUUUCUUCGGACAAUUUUCAAGGUGCUGCAUGGUUGUCGUCAGCUCGUGCCGUGAGGUGUUAGGUUAAGUCCUGCAACGAGCGCAACCCCUGUCACUAGUUGCCAUCAUUCAGUUGGGGACUCUAGUGAGACUGCCUACGCAAGUAGAGAGGAAGGUGGGGAUGACGUCAAAUCAUCACGGCCCUUACGUCUUGGGCCACACACGUAAUACAAUGGCCGGUACAGAGGGCAGCUACACAGCGAUGUGAUGCAAAUCUCGAAAGCCGGUCUCAGUUCGGAUUGGAGUCUGCAACUCGACUCUAUGAAGCUGGAAUCGCUAGUAAUCGCGCAUCAGCCAUGGCGCGGUGAAUACGUUCCCGGGCCU
This 1325-nucleotide ribosomal RNA is filed under the name uncultured bacterium. RNAcentral's name for it is "bacterial SSU rRNA". It matches the Rfam family "Bacterial small subunit ribosomal RNA", at positions 50 to 1381 of the family's 1533-position model. The record is from RNAcentral.